Regulatory RNA element from Clostridium intestinale, 118 nucleotides. It matches the Rfam family "Ribosomal protein L20 leader". Rfam says of the family: This family is a putative r-protein leader autoregulatory structure found in B. subtilis and other low-GC Gram-positive bacteria. It is located in the 5' untranslated regions of mRNAs encoding initiation factor 3 followed by ribosomal proteins L35 and L20 (infC-rpmI-rplT). NCBI's taxonomy places the organism in Bacteria, Bacillati, Bacillota, Clostridia, Eubacteriales, Clostridiaceae. The record is from Rfam.
UAAGUAAAGAAGAAACAGCCGUUUCUCACCUUACAGCAUUGCUAGUUAGGUUACUUAUCCCGUAAAUAUUUUUGUUUGGAUAAAAAGGACGGCUAUCAAGUCGUCCUUUUAUUGUGUU